UUUCCGUAGGUGAACCUGCGGAAGGAUCAUUCAUAAUAAAGUGUUUUAUGGCACUUUUUAAAAAUCCAUAUCCACCUUGUGUGCAAUGUUAGAUCUCGUCAAUCUUGGCGAGAUUUUUAUACAUCAACUCAUUCUUUAACUAAUUUGUCUGAAAAAUAUUAUGAAUACUUACUUCAAAAUAAAACUUUCAACAACGGAUCUCUUGGCUCUC
RNAcentral lists this unclassified non-coding RNA (211 nucleotides) under plant metagenome. RNAcentral describes it as "partial contains small subunit ribosomal RNA, internal transcribed spacer 1, and 5.8S ribosomal RNA". The record is from RNAcentral.